Molecule: non-coding RNA, 25 nt
Filed under: Staphylothermus marinus F1
Lineage: Archaea; Thermoproteati; Thermoproteota; Thermoprotei; Desulfurococcales; Desulfurococcaceae
Source: RNAcentral
CUUUCAAUUCUUUUAGUGUUGUUAC